UACGGAGGGAGCUAGCGUUGUUCGGAAUUACUGGGCGUAAAGCGCGCGUAGGCGGCUUUGUAAGUUAGAGGUGAAAGCCCGGAGCUCAACUCCGGAAUUGCCUUUAAGACUGCAUCGCUAGAAUUGUGGAGAGGUAAGUGGAAUUCCGAGUGUAGAGGUGAAAUUCGUAGAUAUUCGGAAGAACACCAGUGGCGAAGGCGACUUACUGGACACAUAUUGACGCUGAGGUGCGAAAGCGUGGGGAGCAAACAGG
RNAcentral lists this ribosomal RNA (253 nucleotides) under uncultured bacterium. Its description in RNAcentral is "partial 16S ribosomal RNA". It matches the Rfam family "Bacterial small subunit ribosomal RNA", at positions 524 to 776 of the family's 1533-position model. The record is from RNAcentral.